This is a long non-coding RNA of Gadus morhua (Atlantic cod), 461 nucleotides long. RefSeq lists it as uncharacterized. The record is from RefSeq and is a predicted model, not a curated record. The transcript is spliced from 3 exons. Lineage: Eukaryota; Metazoa; Chordata; Actinopteri; Gadiformes; Gadidae.
CCAUUUCCCCUUGGCCAUGAAGCAGAGAACCUCAUGGUGCUGUUGCAUACAUUCCCUCCACACAUGAUUUACAAUGGGGAUGAAACAGGCGUCUUUACAGUACAAAAGCCACAGCAGAAGAAUCCAGGGAAACACGAAAGAGUGGGAGAGACCCACGUUUGCUAUAAAGGAAAAUGAUUUGGCACAUGUUCAUAAAAGUGAUGUGGUGAAGAAGCUGCCUCAACCUAAAAAGGCCCGGAGGAACCACACUGAGAGAGCAACUCCUCAUCUUUCCCUGUAACCUUCAGGGCUGGAAUGUAGAGUAGGACAGUAGGCUGACGUUCUACUCCAGGUGGAUCUAGUCCUGUGUUCUGAGUUCCAGGCCGUUCUAGCUGUUUCUUUUUUGUGUUCUGACCCCCAGAUUGUGUUCUAAUCUAUCUGGUUCUAUAUGUCAUUUGAUUGUUAAUUAAAACAUUUUGAAU